CGAACGGGUGAGUAACGCGUGAGGAACCUGCCUCAAAGAGGGGGACAACAGUUGGAAACACUGCUAAUACCGCAUAAGCCCACGGGUCGGCAUCGAUCUGAGGGAAAAGGAGUGAUCCGCUUUGAGAUGGCCUCGCGUCCGAUUAGCUAGUUGGUGAGGUAACGGCCCACCAAGGCGACGAUCGGUAGCCGGACUGAGAGGUUGAACGGCCACAUUGGGACUGAGACACGGCCCAG
RNAcentral lists this ribosomal RNA (236 nucleotides) under uncultured bacterium. RNAcentral's name for it is "partial 16S ribosomal RNA". It matches the Rfam family "Bacterial small subunit ribosomal RNA", at positions 99 to 334 of the family's 1533-position model. The record is from RNAcentral.